Molecule: ribosomal RNA, 465 nt
Filed under: uncultured ciliate
Lineage: Eukaryota; Ciliophora
Description: SSU rRNA
Rfam family: Eukaryotic small subunit ribosomal RNA
Source: RNAcentral
AUUUGUCUGGUUAAUUCCGAUAACGAACGAGACCUUAACCUGCUAACUAGAUUCUUCUAUACUAUAGAUGAUAUCUUCUUAGAGGGACUAUGUAAUACAAAUACAUGGAAGUUUGAGGCAAUAACAGGUCAGUGAUGCCCUUAUAUGUCCUGGGCUGCACGCGUGCUACACUGAUGCAUACAACAAGUGCCUAACCAGACAUGGUAUGGCAAUCUCGAAUAUGCAUCGUGAUGGGGAUAGAUCUUUGCAAUUAUAGAUCUUGAGCGAGGAAUUCCUAGUAAGUGCAAGUCAUCAUCUUGCAUUGAUUAUGUCCCUGCCCUUUGUACACACCGCCCGUCGCUCCUACCGAUACCGGGUGAUCCGGUGAACCUUUUGGACUCAUUUGGGAAAGAUAAGUAAACCAUAUCACCUAGAGGAAGGAGAAGUCGUAACAAGGUUUCCGUAGGUGAACCUGCRGAAGGAUCA